UGCUGGCAAAACUGUAUUUCUAUACUCAUCUGAAGACGAUACCAAAAGAUAACAGAAAGGAAAAGUCUGGUUCAAAUUCUGCCACCAGAAAAAAAUAUUUUGGAUAGAGGUUGAUGCUAUGAAAGAAAAUCACUGUGAGUGUAUGGUGACCUCUGCAAGAACAAUCCGAUGAGUGAAAUUCAUUUUAAAGUCUCAAGCACCUUUCAUGAAGACUAACAAAUGAAUAACUUGGACUAGGUUUCCUCUAGCAAAAUAACCUCUCAUCCUAAUUAUUCUUUUAAUUGUGUCCAUGUAUACUUUGGUAACUGGGGCCUGAGCGAACUGCUCAGCCUGUGACUGUCUUAUCACUCACCAU
Molecule: long non-coding RNA, 355 nt
Filed under: Dasypus novemcinctus (nine-banded armadillo)
Lineage: Eukaryota; Metazoa; Chordata; Mammalia; Cingulata; Dasypodidae
Description: lncRNA (ENSDNOG00000051497.1)
Source: RNAcentral